UGGCGACCGGCGCACGGGUGAGUAACACGUAUCCAACCUGCCGAUGACUCGGGGAUAGCCUUUCGAAAGAAAGAUUAAUACCCGAUGGCAUAGUUCUUCCGCAUGGUAGAACUAUUAAAGAAUUUCGGUCAUCGAUGGGGAUGCGUUCCAUUAGCUUGUUGGCGAGGUAACGGCCCACCAAGGCAUCGAUGGAUAGGGGUUCUGAGAGGAAGGUCCCCCACAUUGGAACUGAGACACGGUCCAAACUCCUACGGGAGGCAGCAG
This 264-nucleotide ribosomal RNA is filed under the name uncultured bacterium. RNAcentral's name for it is "partial 16S ribosomal RNA". It matches the Rfam family "Bacterial small subunit ribosomal RNA", at positions 89 to 354 of the family's 1533-position model. The record is from RNAcentral.